Molecule: ribosomal RNA, 474 nt
Filed under: uncultured bacterium
Lineage: Bacteria
Description: bacterial SSU rRNA
Rfam family: Bacterial small subunit ribosomal RNA
Source: RNAcentral
UCAGGACGAACGCUGGCGGCGUGCUUCAUACAUGCAAGUCGAACGAGAAGCUGACUUCGGUCAGUGGAAAGUGGCGGACGGGUGAGUAAUAUGUAGAGAAUCUGCCCUUGAGUGGGGGACAACAGAGGGAAACUUCUGCUAAUACCCCAUAUGAGCUAACUUGAAAUAGUUAUCUUGAAAACUCCGGUGCUCAAGGAUGAGUCUGCAUCUGAUUAGCUAGUUGGCGGUGUAAUGGACCACCAAGGCGACGAUCAGUAGCUGGUUUGAGAGGAUGAUCAGCCACAAUGGGACUGAGACACGGCCCAUACUCCUACGGGAGGCAGCAGUAGGGAAUUUUGCGCAAUGGGCGAAAGCCCUGACGCAGCAACGCCGCGUGAACGAUUAAGCCCUUCGGGGUGUAAAGUUCUGUCAGUAGGGACGAAUUUUGACGGUACCUACAGAGGAAGCACCGGCUAACUCCGUGCCAGCCGCAGC